CAAUCACAGUGAAAGGGGUGAAGUAGUUUAGGAGAAAUGUGCCACGUCCCUCCUCCUAAACUCACAUCUGUCAUCCUCCAGGUAGCAGAAAGAUGGAUGUGUGACAGUCUGGACUCUCCCGACGUGCAGCUCGGUGAACAGAGAGGACUCUUUUACCCAGCAGCACCCUGUUGCUCAGGAUCAUCCUCCUGAUGUAACAAGCAGCAGCAGUCUUCGUGGGAUAUAACGCAUUUAUGCUUAUUCAUAAGCAGCGAAGCGGGGACAGAGAGACAAACACCGGGGGACAGAAGCGACGAGCAGCCGAGGAGGUGCAGACAGUGACACUCCAAAGAUCUCAUUCGUCUGUGAUGAGUAUCCCCAUCCACCAGAGACCAAAGGUCAGUCCUUGUUGUGGCCUCUGAAAUGAAAAGGAAGUGAUGUCAAUGAUUUUCUUGGCUCCCCUCCAUCACAGUCAUUCCUUCUCUCGUCCUCAAACCUGCUACAUCAAGGCAUCAGCAGCAGGAUUGAGGCUCUGGCCUUGGCUAAGGUCUAAGGUGAAUCUCCAGUUGACACCCAGAGCUCAGGGCUGCUGAUGGCUCCAUACCAAAUUUUGGGAUGAUCCUGGCUGACUUGGCAGCAUAGUUACUAGCUUGUGGGCAAUUUUGGUGUUUUGACCCUGGAAGGGGGAGCUGGAGAUGAAGGAGUAGGAGAGGAUGAGAAGAGGAGGGAGGCAGCGCUCAGACCCAAUACAACUUUUCCUUCACCAGUACAGCCUCAGCAUCGAACGCCUCAGGGAUCAGCCCGGGCUGCGCCAGUAUCAGCAGUAAGCUGGUCAGGCCUCCUGCCCCACACCUUGCCCUUCCCCCAGCCACACCUGCUCACUCAUGAUGACCCACUUCCAGGUGACGCCGCAAUCUAAGCAGCAUCUGACCUUGAUGGAUCUGAGCAUGCCCAGACAGUCUCUGUGGUGAUUUAAACCCGCACAGCACGACUGGCAAUGGACCUUUACCCUCUCAUCCUAGCCUAAUCCAGACUCCUGUCCUGCAGCAGAAGCACAGAGUCCACGCUCACCUGCAGACAGUCAGGGCAGUCCUGACCGGCUGCAGAUGCUGUAGACAGUUGGGAUGGAGAAGUACAAGUUCAGCAACCUAGGACAUUCAAAAGCUAUCCAUGGUUGGUCUCAGUGGAUCCUCCUACUUCCCAGGUGGAUUUUUAUUUUAUUUUUAACUCUUUAAGCGCCAGAGUCGCAAAUUGCGACAAGCAAUAUUGCUGAAUUAA
Molecule: long non-coding RNA, 1257 nt
Organism: Cheilinus undulatus (humphead wrasse)
Lineage: Eukaryota; Metazoa; Chordata; Actinopteri; Labriformes; Labridae
Exons: 6
Source: RefSeq, a predicted model, not a curated record